AAGCAAACGACUACCCACCCACAACCCCCACCUCUCUCCCUCGAUACGCAGUACAGGUCGCCGGCCCCGACCCGCCAUGCCCUCCGCUUGCCACCUCCGGUGACCCGCCGCGCUCCUCGCCUCACACCUCCUGCGACCCGCCGCGCCCCCCGCCUCCCACCUCCUGCGACCCGCCGCGCCCCCGCCUCCCACCUCCUGCGACUCGCCGCGCCCCCUGGCCUCCACCUCCAGCGACCCACCAUGCUCCCUUCUCCCACCUACGGCGCCUGGCCACGCCCCCCCAGAUCCCACCUCCGACGAGGCGCCACGGCCCUGCCUCCCACCUUCGGCGAUGCGCCACGGCCCUGCCUCCCAUCUCCAGCGACGCGCCGCCCCUGAACCCCGUCUCCUCUCUCGCGCCGCCCCCACUCGCCCGAGAACGCGGCCAUUCCUCCCACAGAGCCAUGCUCGCGCACCGUCGUCCCUCCCACCGCGCCGAGCUCGCACUCCAUCGCCGCUGGUGCCCCCAUCCUCGCGCCGUCCGUGACCCCUCCACUACACUCCUCUGCUGCAAGAACACGCCAGUUCAUGUGGAGAAUAACAGUCCGUCAGUUUGAUAGUUCGUCAAUUCACCGAUGGGAUCCGCAGCAGCAACGCUCGCUCCCCAAUGGUUGCCCACGCAAGGAGGAUACAGGGAGGCGACAGUGGUGGAGUCAGCAGCGUUCCAUGGCCUUUGUCCUCCUCGUCGCAUCUUUUCUUAUAAACAACAAGAAGAAAACGAGGCAUAUGCUUCAUGCUCUCCAUCUCCUGGUAAAGGGGAGUUAAGCUCUACGGCCACUUGGAUGUGGAUGCUCACGCUCCUCCACUGGGCGAGCUUCCAGGGCACCAAGGGGAUUGAUAUUGUCAUCUCUACCCGUCGGCCAUGAGGGCCAAGAGGUUUCCUGCACCCUGCUGAAUGAAAUGCCACUUCCGACCAGCACCUGGCCUGAUGCCGUACGUAGACCGCCGUGCUUUUUAAGAUUUCCUGUAUGCCUGUACAUGAAAAUCUCAACAAUUCCGUUUCUUGUCUACAUGAUUUUGUGCUAGCUUAUCCCAAGUUCAUGUUGCAUGCUCAAUGUAGUAGCUAGCUGAAGAAAAUUUAUUGUUCUGUAGCUUUGGUCUUACCAUUGUGGUGCUUGUGUUAUUGCGUGGGAAAAUGAAAGAAAGGAGUUUUUUUGCAAAUCAAUGAAUGAGAACAAAGUUUGCUGUUUCCCCACCCAAUUUAGAGCUCCAAAAAAGUUCAGAGUUCAGAGUAGUUGUUUGGAGAUGAACAAUAAAUAAGUAUAAGAAAAAUUUGUAAAAAAGUACGACAAAGUCCACUAUGUAUUUCACCAUCAGUACAUAAAGAAAUAUUAUAUAAAAUUCCUUGCUCACAGACUAUUUUUAUAGCCUACUGGUUAGUGUCAAAAUGUGUUGUUCUUGUUUCUUUACGGUUGCUUCUUUAUUAUAUGAAUAUGAAUGUGCUAGCUAGCUUAGCAAUACCAUUUGGAGUUAGUAGGUGUAGCUCAAACAAUUCUUGGGCCAUUUUGUCAUAACAAUAAGGCAGGACAUGCUUACAAGAUGAUGAAACCAUGUAUAUAUAACUUGAUGACUGUCUAAAUUGAGAAAAUCCUGAAAUAUUAUAUGGGCUCUCUUUGUAUCAGUUCUUAUGCUUGUGACAAUUCUGCACUCAUACUGUGCUCGGUGACUAGAAAAAAAUACAUAAGUUCGAAAUAUACUUACCAUGUUUGUUCAGUGUUUUUUCAGUGGUUAUUGGUUUCCUCUUAAGCAGAUGAACUACAUUGUCACAUUAAACUGCAGGGACAAGUUCCCUCAGUUUUCUCUCGACAAAUCCAACAGUACAGGUUCUCCGGCGCGCCAAGUAUUGCUGGCGGCGAUGCCUGCAUCAUGGCCCAUUGAGGAGAUCAUGGCCAUCAGUUGUACUUGGUGGUGCAGACUUGGUAGCGGUGAUAUCUUGGUUCAAUUAUAUAUCAACAAUAGUGCAAUGACUGAAAGAUCAUCAGUUCAAAAUAUAUAUGCAGAAGGAGGUUCAAAGAUUGUCGUGGAGCAAGUUAAAGAGUUCAGUACACUUGCGUCAGUCGUCCAUCAUCUUCUGACAUCUAGUAUCGAAGUCUCUCCCCCCCUCGCCGCACACACAGACCGGGCGGUCGAGCACCUCCUCAAGUGAGAUGGGCGGCGAGGCCCUACCAUCUCCCGGUGAUGACUUGCCGGCACACCCUGCAGAUUCACCUCUCACUCGCACCACGACCGCAGCUUCACUCCCGUGUGCCACCCUCGGCUGCCGCGCCAUGGCCUGCGCUCAGCGGCUGCGGGUGGAGCAGCUGGGUCGAGGAACUUUGCCUCGACAGUACAGCAUCACACUCUGCUGUCGGUCGUGAGAAGAGCUGCGUGCAGGCCACCCCGUGUCCGCCCUCGAUCCAUCUUAGUCAUCUCCCUCUCAUCCUCUCUCUCUCUCUGGUCUGUGUUUCUGUGUGCAGGGAGUUGGAGGAGAUAGAGCAGGGGAGUGGGAGGCCCUUCCAUGGCAAAUUCGUUGGCAUCUUCCAUGGAGAUUGCGACCUCUCUUGAUUUUUGCUUGAGGAUUUCUCCUCUGGAUCUGUCCACUGUAGUUCUUGUAUAGCGGCGUCCUUUUUUCUAGUGUUCCUCAAUGUUGAGGCAUGUGUUUAAUAACCCACUCAUACGAAUUCUAGAAACAAGCUUCAGUACAAGAAAAAUGGGUCGUUCAGUUCAAUUCUGAAUUAUAGGUGUGUGUAAACACAUCCUCCUGACACAGUAACUAAUUAACUAUGAUACCAUGUUCAGACUUCUAUAAAUCCCGAAACUAUGCAGAGUUAGGAUUGUUACUACCUUGUUUCUUACUAUUGAUUCAUUUUUAUACUAUAUUGAGAUGGUACAUGUAGUUGGACAUCUGAAUAUACUGGUGAUUGCUUCUUGCUGCCUCUAUUUUUAUCAUGAUUUGGUGUGUGCACAGCAGGAGUGUUUUUGUUCCUAGAUCAGUUGCUCAACAACAGAAUUGUGUAUCGCACAGUACAUGUAUUACUACUAUGAAGGUUCAGAAAUAAGAACUCAAAGAAGUAUUGACAACAUAGCUACUGUAUAUUCAAGGAGUCGGGUUUUGCUCCUGCAUCAUCUCAUCUCCUCCGUUCAGCAAAAGCCUCGAGAUAAGUUCACACAUAUGGUUUUGUUUCUUUCUAUAAUUCUUGAGUCCAAACUCCUUCGUUUUUUGUUCCUGAGAAAUUAAAUAAACCUGUAGAAGUUUGGGGUAUAAAAUUCUGUAAGUUCGAAAUCGGGAAACUGGUAAGUGCAGACAAAAUUAAAUCUGUCAAAGAAUUAUUGUAGGCAAGUUUAGAAGUUUGGCUUCGUGAGAAAAAAGUAUGAUUUUCUAUCAGUAUUUUGUAUGAUUCAUUUGCCUCAGCUAAAAAUAAAAAAUUAGACAAAAAAUAAUUUUGUUUACUGCCGGUAAUGCUCUCUCCACCCUACUGUCUGUUUUGGUUGAUGAACAAGUACGGGCAAAAUAUCUUGUAUAGGGCAAGUUCUUGUAUUAGUGCCAGGCAAGUUCAAAAAAUAAACCGCGGCAAGUUCAAAAUGAAAAUGUGGCAAAAACAAAAAGGGAGUUCGGAAGUAGGAAUUUGGAUGUAUCUGCCAUUUUUCUUUUUUGUGCUCAGGUUUACAUGAAAAUACACUUUUAGUUUCAGGAAUUGAAGAACUUUUUAGGAAGAAUUAGCCUUUUGAGCUACUGUUGAUGGCUGGCAUUUGUGCCCCGAAGUACGAGUUUGGAAGGCCAGUAAGUUCUACUUCUGGCAUAAGCCAACAGAGCAUCGGUCGAAGAAGGCCGAGGCACCUCGUGCCAGCUCCGGGCAUCACCGGAGUCCCUACCUGUUCUUCCACCGCCCCCGUGCACUCACCGUCGAGCCUAUCCAUGCACAGCUCUAGUAUUGAUGAGCUUCAGGCUUGUCGUUGUUCAUGCAGAUUAAUUCUUUGUUAAUUGCUAUUGCACAUUCAGUAAAUGUAGCCUUUGUCUUUUCAGUGAAGUUUUAUUGUGAAGAUUUUUUAAUGCACAUCGAAACCAGAUUGUCUGCUGUUACAUGUGCAUCAUAUGCGUAUUUUUCCAUCGAGAAACCUCAUCA
RNA transcript from Triticum aestivum (bread wheat), 4142 nucleotides. RefSeq lists it as uncharacterized. NCBI's taxonomy places the organism in Eukaryota, Viridiplantae, Streptophyta, Magnoliopsida, Poales, Poaceae. The record is from RefSeq and is a predicted model, not a curated record. The transcript is spliced from 5 exons.